UACGUAGGUGGCGAGCGUUAUCCGGAUUUACCGGGUGUAAAGGGCGCGUAGGCGGGGAUGCAAGUCAGAUGUGAAAUCUAUGGGCCCAACCCAUAAACUGCAUUUGAAACUGUAUUUCUUGAGUGCUGGAGAGGUAGACGGAACUCCUUGUGUAGCGGUGAAAUGCGUAGAUAUAAGGAAGAACACCAGUGGCGAAGGCGGUCUACCGGACAGUAACUGACGCUGAGGCGCGAAAGCGUGGGGAGCAAAC
RNAcentral lists this ribosomal RNA (250 nucleotides) under uncultured prokaryote. Its description in RNAcentral is "partial 16S ribosomal RNA". It matches the Rfam family "Bacterial small subunit ribosomal RNA", at positions 524 to 773 of the family's 1533-position model. The record is from RNAcentral.